CCUACGGGGGGCUGCAGUGGGGAAUAUUGGACAAUGGGGGCAACCCUGAUCCAGCCAUGCCGCGUGUGUGAAGAAGGCCCUCGGGUUGUAAAGCACUUUCAGUGAGGAAGAACGCCUGGUGGUUAAUACCCAUCAGGAAAGACAUCACUCACAGAAGAAGCACCGGCUAACUCCGUGCCAGCAGCCGCGGUAAUACGGAGGGUGCGAGCGUUAAUCGGAAUUACUGGGCGUAAAGCGCGCGUAGGUGGCUGGAUAAGCCGGUUGUGAAAGCCCCGGGCUCAACCUGGGAACGGCAUCCGGAACUGUCAAGCUAGAGUGCAGGAGAGGAAGGUAGAAUUCCCGGUGUAGCGGUGAAAUGCGUAGAGAUCGGGAGGAAUACCAGUGGCGAAGGCGGCCUUCUGGACUGACACUGACACUGGGGUGCGAAAGCGUGGGUAGCAAACAGGAUUAGAUACCCGAGUAGUC
RNAcentral lists this ribosomal RNA (465 nucleotides) under Vreelandella stevensii. RNAcentral's name for it is "partial 16S ribosomal RNA". It matches the Rfam family "Bacterial small subunit ribosomal RNA", at positions 338 to 795 of the family's 1533-position model. The record is from RNAcentral. Lineage: Bacteria; Pseudomonadati; Pseudomonadota; Gammaproteobacteria; Oceanospirillales; Halomonadaceae.